GACGAACGCUGGCGGCGUGCUUAACACAUGCAAGUCGAACGGUGAAGCUCCAGCUUGCUGGAGUGGAUCAGUGGCGAACGGGUGAGUAACACGUGAGCAACCUGCCCCAGACUCUGGAAUAAGCGCUGGAAACGGCGUCUAAUACUGGAUACGAGAUCAAGCCGCAUGGUUAUGGUAUGGAAAGUUUUUCGGUUUGGGAUGGUCUCGCGGCCUAUCAGCUUGUUGGUGAGGUAAUGGCUCACCAAGGCGACGACGGGUAGCCGGCCUGAGAGGGCGACCGGCCACACUGGGACUGAGACACGGCCCAGACUCCUACGGGAGGCAGAAGUGGAGAAUAUUGCACAAUGGGCGAAAGCCUGAUGCAGCGACGCCGCGUGAGGGAUGACGGCCUUCGGGUUGUAAACCUCUUUCAGCAGGGAAGAAGCGAAAGUGACGGUACCUGCAGAAGAAGCACCGGCUAACUACGUG
Molecule: ribosomal RNA, 468 nt
Filed under: uncultured bacterium
Lineage: Bacteria
Description: partial 16S ribosomal RNA
Rfam family: Bacterial small subunit ribosomal RNA
Source: RNAcentral